Molecule: ribosomal RNA, 253 nt
Filed under: uncultured bacterium
Lineage: Bacteria
Description: partial 16S ribosomal RNA
Rfam family: Bacterial small subunit ribosomal RNA
Source: RNAcentral
UACAGAGGUCUCAAGCGUUGUUCGGAUUCAUUGGGCGUAAAGGGUGCGUAGGCGGCGCGGUAAGUCGGGUGUGAAAUCUCGGAGCUUAACUCCGAAACUGCAUUCGAUACUGCCGUGCUUGAGGACUGGAGAGGAGACUGGAAUUUACGGUGUAGCGGUGAAAUGCGUAGAUAUCGUAAGGAAGACCAGUGGCGAAGGCGGGUCUCUGGACAGUUCCUGACACUGAGACAUGAAGGCCAGGGGAGCAAACGGG